RNAcentral lists this ribosomal RNA (441 nucleotides) under uncultured bacterium. RNAcentral describes it as "partial 16S ribosomal RNA". It matches the Rfam family "Bacterial small subunit ribosomal RNA", at positions 338 to 795 of the family's 1533-position model. The record is from RNAcentral.
CCUACGGGAGGCAGCAGUCGGGAAUAUUGCGCAAUGGAGGAAACUCUGACGCAGUGACGCCGCGUGCAGGAAGAAGGUUUUCGGAUUGUAAACUGCUUUAGACAGGGAAGAAAAAAGACAGUACCUGUAGAAUAAGCUCCGGCUAACUACGUGCCAGCAGCCGCGGUAAUACGUAGGGAGCAAGCGUUAUCCGGAUUUAUUGGGUGUAAAGGGUGCGUAGACGGAGAAGCAAGUUAGUUGUGAAAUCCCUCGGCUUAACUGAGGAACUGCAACUAAAACUACUUCCCUUGAGUACUGGAGAGGAAAGUGGAAUUCCUAGUGUAGCGGUGAAAUGCGUAGAUAUUAGGAGGAACACCAGUGGCGAAGGCAGCGUGCCGUGUCGCCACUGACGCUGAGGCACGAAAGCGCGGGGAUCGAACAGGAUUAGAUACCCCUGUAGUC